GUUAUAUGGUCAAGUAGAAAAGCGCACACGGUGGAUGCCUUGGCGAUAACAGGCGAUGAAGGACGUGAUAGCCUGCGAAAAGCUGCGGCGAGUUGGCAAAUAAACAUUGACCCGCAGAUGUCCGAAUGGGGAAACCCACUCCUUUGGAGUAUUCUUAUCUGAAUCUAUAGGGUAAGAAAGCAAACCUAGGGAACUGAAACAUCUAAGUACCUAGAGGAAAAGAAAUCAACCGAGAUUCCGUCAGUAGUGGCGAGCGAAAGCGGAACAGCCCGUAUGAUAUAGUCGUAUUAUGAGCAGAAUGGUCUGGAAAGUCCAGCGACACAGGGUGAUAGCCCCGUAGGCAAACAUAAAACGAUAGAACUAAGCAUACAUAGAGUAAGGCGGGACACGAGAAAUCCUGUCUGAACAUGGGGGGCCCAUCCUCCAAGGCUAAAUACUCGUUAUCGACC
This 449-nucleotide ribosomal RNA is filed under the name Thioflexithrix psekupsensis. RNAcentral's name for it is "bacterial LSU rRNA". It matches the Rfam family "Bacterial large subunit ribosomal RNA", at positions 1 to 485 of the family's 2925-position model. The record is from RNAcentral. Lineage: Bacteria; Pseudomonadati; Pseudomonadota; Gammaproteobacteria; Thiotrichales.